ACAGCAGUAGCCGCGGUAAUACGAAGGGGGCUAGCGUUGUUCGGAAUUACUGGGCGUAAAGCGCACGUAGGCGGAUAUUUAAGUCAGGGGUGAAAUCCCGCAGCUCAACUGCGGAACUGCCUUUGAUACUGGGUAUCUUGAGUAUGGAAGAGGUUAGUGGAAUUGCGAGUGUAGAGGUGAAAUUCGUAGAUAUUCGCAGGAACACCAGUGGCGAAGGCGGCUAACUGGUCCAUAACUGACGCUGAGGUGCGAAAGCGUGGGGAGCAAACAGGAUUAGAUACCCGGGUAGUCCCUGUCUCUUAUAC
RNAcentral lists this ribosomal RNA (305 nucleotides) under uncultured bacterium. Its description in RNAcentral is "partial 16S ribosomal RNA". It matches the Rfam family "Bacterial small subunit ribosomal RNA", at positions 508 to 807 of the family's 1533-position model. The record is from RNAcentral.